Molecule: ribosomal RNA, 397 nt
Filed under: uncultured bacterium
Lineage: Bacteria
Description: partial 16S ribosomal RNA
Rfam family: Bacterial small subunit ribosomal RNA
Source: RNAcentral
AUACGUAGGUGACAAGCGUUAUCCGGAUUUACUGGGCGUAAAGGGCGUGUAGGCGGUCUUGCAAGUCAGAAGUGAAAUUCCUGAGCUCAACUCGGGCGCUGCUUCUGAAACUGCAGGACUUGAGUGCUGGAGGGGAUAGCGGAAUUCCUAGUGGAGCGGUAAAAUGCGCAGAUAUUAGGAAGAACACCGGUGGCGAAGGCGGCUAUCUGGACAGUAACGGACGCUGAGGCGCGAAAGCGUGGGUAGCAAACAGGAUUAGAUACUCUGGUAGUCCACGCCGUAAACGAUGAAUACUAGGUGUAGGGGGUAUCGACUCCCUCUGUGCCGCAGUUAACACAAUAAGUAUUCCGCCUGGGGAGUACGGCCGCAAGGUUGAAACUCAAAUGAAUUGACGGGG